This 496-nucleotide ribosomal RNA is filed under the name uncultured bacterium. RNAcentral's name for it is "partial 16S ribosomal RNA". It matches the Rfam family "Bacterial small subunit ribosomal RNA", at positions 28 to 506 of the family's 1533-position model. The record is from RNAcentral.
GAUGAACGCUGGCGGCGUGCCUAAUACAUGCAAGUCGAGCGAACAGAUGAGGAGCUUGCUCCUCUGACGUUAGCGGCGGACGGGUGAGUAACACGUGGAUAACCUACCUAUAAGACUGGGAUAACUUCGGGAAACCGGAGCUAAUACCGGAUAAUAUAUUGAACCGCAUGGUUCAAUAGUGAAAGACGGUUUUGCUGUCACUUAUAGAUGGAUCCGCGCCGCAUUAGCUAGUUGGUAAGGUAACGGCUUACCAAGGCGACGAUGCGUAGCCGACCUGAGAGGGUGAUCGGCCACACUGGAACUGAGACACGGUCCAGACUCCUACGGGAGGCAGCAGUAGGGAAUCUUCCGCAAUGGGCGAAAGCCUGACGGAGCAACGCCGCGUGAGUGAUGAAGGUCUUCGGAUCGUAAAACUCUGUUAUUAGGGAAGAACAAAUGUGUAAGUAGCUAUGCACGUCUUGACGGUACCUAAUCAGAAAGCCACGGCUAACUACGU